UUGAAGAUGGCGGAGAAAACAACCCGAGAUUGCUUGGAACAUUUUUGCUAUGGUAUAUGCCAGUUAUAUGGAAAACGUUAUUUGAGACACCCCACUUGGAACGACCUUCAA
Helianthus annuus (common sunflower) is the source of this 111-nucleotide long non-coding RNA. RefSeq lists it as uncharacterized. The transcript is spliced from 2 exons. Lineage: Eukaryota; Viridiplantae; Streptophyta; Magnoliopsida; Asterales; Asteraceae. The record is from RefSeq and is a predicted model, not a curated record.